This is a non-coding RNA of Cordylochernes scorpioides, 7231 nucleotides long. The record is from the annotation of a GenBank genome assembly. Lineage: Eukaryota; Metazoa; Arthropoda; Arachnida; Pseudoscorpiones; Chernetidae.
UCAAUAUCCUACCGGCUUCAUCUAUCGUCGUUGAAAAAGGCAGAGUUGGAAGUUAAAAAGAUCACUGUUAUAACCUCUCUAUCUGACUACUCCAACGCUUGUUCGGCGGUACAUAUACUAAAAUUGGAACGAUACAGAGAUGAUUAGCAUGGCCCCUGCGCAAGGAUGACACGCAAAAUCGUGAAGCGUUCCAUACUCCAAUGUCAGAUAAUCAACCUAAGUAAAUUCUACCCUACUCGAUUAUCCACCUUGUCAUAGUUUUUAACAUUGAGGUGGAAGCUACUUAUUCUCCCAAUCUACAAAGAUGUAAAUCAUUCAUGGCAAUACUUUCCUACUUCAAUGUUUAUUCACCUUUCAGUUUAACGCCUUCGAAUUGAUAUUUGUAAAAUGGAUUCAUGUUAACUUUACAAACUCGACGGCAACACCUUAACGUUACCUCGACAAGCACAUAUAUACAGACACUCUAUACCAAAAAUGGAACUGGCAACAAAUGCGAUGAUUGUUUAUCUCGAGUUCCUAUAUAAUUCAAGGUAAUCAUCAAAUAUGAAUGGCAAUAAACAACGAAAUACAUGAUUCAAUAAAUUAAAUAUCGAAAGAUAUGUUUAAUGUGACUAGAUCAGAACAGCAAAUAAGGAAGCAUUUUCGAAAAUAUAAAGGAACUUAAAGAGAAUCCAGAUAAUUCAUAUUGAAUAUACAAACUCUCCAAGACACGGUGUUCUAUGUAAAGAAUAGCGAGUUACAAAAUUCCUUCAAAACAAUCCUUAAAGGAAAUUUAUCAAACACAUAUUAGGGCGCAUAGACAAAGAAAUUUCACAUAAUUCAAGAACAUAUGAAUCGUGUGUUAAAAACAAAUCUUCCAAAGGUGCUCGUUAUAUAUCCCUGGGAUGAACCUAAAGAAAAUUGGGAUCAUAUUGUAGCGAAAAAUAAAUUUUAUAAUUUAUUUUAUUAUUUAAUUAAUCAAUGAAAAUACACAGCACACAGAAUAUAACGGUGUAUUUAUGGAAUCAUCAUGUAUGUUCCAUAGCUUGUUUGUUCAAUAUUCUCUAGAUGUAAAUAAUUGGUUAGUUGAAUUGGAGUCGCCUAGUCGUGUUGAGGCGUAAUGAAUAAAUAAUAUUUUACUUCAUCAUUGAUCUGUCAUCCAAUAUACUACGUUACAAUAUACAUAUAGAUUGUCCAGAGCCAUUUACCAUCACUAUUUGUUUGAUGGUUGUCAAGCCAAAAUCGAGAAAUGUAAUAAGUAAAAAUGUCUCGAAAAAUAUUUAUAGCUCUCUAUUCAAUUAUUCUUCUAUCAUUAUUAUAAUAAUUAAUAGUGCAGACUAUUGACAAGAUGCCAAUAAAAUUAUAUUAAUUUUGAAUUGUUUUCGGAGAUUUUUGACAUUCAUGGAUAACGCCAUGUAAUGGCUUCCGACAAUCCUACUAUUUCUGUUAGUAAUUAAUUCAUAUCAUUUAGUACAUAAAAUGGUAUUUUAAAAAAUGCACCCGCGCGGACAUCCAGAUACAAAACCUAACCUGAAAAUCGAAUAAAUUUGAAGAAAAAAGAACUUAUGUUUAUAUAUAGGCAUACCAAGGUACGGGAAGUUAUUUUCCGAUAGCGAGCCACUCCAUUAUCUAAUAACAAGACUGAUCCAUACAAAUCCAACUUGACGCAAUUCUGACCACGCAAUAAAGUCAAUACAAUUAAGCGUAGGAGAAAUAGUUCAAUAUUCCAUCAAGCAGUUUGACAAAUUCAAUCCUAGGUUCCUGGAACUCAGCAACCUACAGUGUAAGUUGGACCAGAGUCUACAACGUCCGAGAUCCAGGAAACCAUUUCCCCCAGAACCAGAUCCUAUAAGUCUAAAACGUCAGCCUACUUGAAGGACUACAUGGUGAAAUAAUUUUCUAUUCUAUUAAGAAUUUCCUUUAAACCGUAAAGAAGAACUGUUAUAUAUAAAAACCUAUUUGAGAGAAUAUUUUGCUAUCAAUUCAAUACCUAUUUAUAAAUUGCCUAUGUAUUUUAUACCCAAUUCCAUUCAAUAUGAUUGAUGGUUGAUGUAUUAUCAAUUUCGAUUGUGAUAAAUUACAAUUUCAACAAUGAAGUGAAUGCUACUUACUUUCAAAAAAAAAAGCUAUCCCAAUCUACAAGAGUUAUUAUUAAAAGAUAGUCCAGUUUAUAAGGAGAGAGAGAGAUCAGUUUAAUGUUUUAUGACAAACAAGAAUUUAUAUUUGAUAUGAAGGUUCGAGUAUACAUAUAUCCAAGAGUUGACCGUGAAAAACAAGCUACAAAUAGGCAGCAGUUUGUGAAGACACGAAAACGGUCUGUAGAGUCAGGACCCCAAGUUUGGGCGCCAUACCAUGCAGAGGUAUAUUACGGGCAAAUGAAGAAAACUUACAUACUAUCUGUUUUCAUCAAAAGCUUAUGCUUGAUUAAGAAAGAAAAGCUAAAGUAUCAGAAAUGAGUCGAAAACAGCGAUGUACAUUUUUGAAACGACUGAUUAUCAAACUGGAGAAUUCCUAAAAAAUACAUAUCGGUUUGUCUUUAAAUUCUAAAAGUUCUUCUCCUAACGAUGUUAAGUUUAUAAAAUUUAAGUAAGAAGCAAAGUAACGUUUUUACGAUUUGUAUCGAAUUACUAAACUCACCUGAGAGUCUUAAAUCAACCUCGUUAUUUACUCUCCCUUUACACCAGCUAGAAUACACUCUAAUAAAUAUUUGACUAACUCCUGGAACGUACAGAAGUCGCCAAAGGAGAUUUAAAUUCCCUAUUUACGUAACACUUUUUCAGCACAAAGAUGUAAUGAUAUCCAAAACUAUCACGUAAAUAUCUUUUAGAAAAAAAAAAAAACGAUGUAAAAUGUUGUUUGUUGAUGGGAGGUCAGCCACUCUGCGACUCAUCCUAUGAGUGUUGCACUCGGGUGGGUUCACCAAGCUAUCGAUUCGCGCGAGAGAGAAAGAGCGAGAGAGAGAGAGAGAAGGCUGCAGCUGCGGAAGAGGAGCAGGGAGAGACUGAACUGGCCGCCGUCCGUCUAUAAAUAGCAAUCAAUGCGCAAAGACCCCGCGCAGAGCGAGGGCGCCGGCAUUGACGACAAGAGGAUGCGGCGAUGGCGGCAACGUCGUAGGUAAGGAGAACGAACUCUCAGUAGCCACAAGUCACCCCUGCUUCCUCAACCUUUCCUGUCCCUUGCGCAGCCCAGGGCCGAGGAGGACAUUGGCUCCAGACACGAAACAUCGAUCCCGCCCUACCGUGCGUGACGCGAUCCAUUUGCUGAAUGAACCGUCUGGCCGGAAAUAGUAAAAUAGAUUUUUUUACGCUAAUAUUCCUUCAUUGAUAGCGAGAGCUUCCGCAUUGACGUGGCACGCUCGACCCGUGUCUUGAUUAAUUCGGCGUUUGGCAUCCAAACCUAGUUUCUUCGUGUUUAGGCCUAUUUUGUACGGCAUUAAGCAAACCUGCUCGAGGUCUAUUAUUGCAUUUCAUUCCUCAUUGAUGAAGAUGUAAACGAUCUUUACUUAUAAAGAGAUUAGGAUAGGAAAACCAGUAAGAUAUACAAUUUAAAAGAAUACAAUAAACAUAUUGUCAUUAAAAAGAAAAAUAUUCGGAAUUUAGAAUAUAAUGAAAAAGAGAAGAAAGAUCGAAAGGAAAGAUAAGCGAAAAAAGGUGAAGGACCUGAAGACUAUAUUUGGGAUUCAUGUGGCAUCGAUUGUGGGGGCGGAACUUUAAUUCCAGCGAGGCGCACUCUGUGGACAUAGUCUGUUUUAAAUAUGGGUGGAUCCAAACGGAUCAUGGUGAAAUAAAUCCAGUUAUUUAAUAAUUACUUUAACUAUUUUUUUACAAAUCGAUUAGGAUUACAACAAGCUAUUAGUGGAAAUAUUUCCAAUCAUUUUUGAAUCGCUUUCUUAGUUCUUAGACCGUCUUAAAAAAAAAAAAGUUUCUUAAAGUCUUAAUUCAAAUAUAGCCCAACCUUCCGAGGAUUUUUUAUUAGAUUCUGGAUUUUCCCGAGGAUAUCAAUUUCAACAGAAGAGUAGAACCAACGAUAGGCGUGUCCGGAAUAUAAGCUAUCUGUAGCAAGGAUCAUAUGUCCGAACUACAGGGAAGUUCCAAUUAUCCAGGGGAUGACAGCACCACGAAGUGACUCAGGUCCAAGUCGGGCUAAUUUUAGUCGGUCCGUGAAUGGCGCUAUUUGCAGAGCACCAGGGGGACCGCGCGAGGAAACCCGAGGCGCCCGCUCCAUACAAGGCUCCUGCUAUAUUUAAAACAAGCAGGCGACGAGCCCCUCCCCCCUAAAAUUAACCCCCUCCCGUCCGCCCCUCACGAUAACAAUUUAACGCCGGAUGGAGGAGUCGCAAGGAUGUGGACGAUGCUAAGCUUUAGCUGGUUGAGGAUUGGCCAAGUGUAAGUUCAACCUAUUUGGUCCCCUUCAACCAGCUGUGGUUAGCAUCGAGUAUGUUCUUCGCCCGCCAGGUACGUAUUUCUGGAAUGUGACGCAUGAAACCUGCAUGUAUUGAGAGCAUUCUUUUCUGUAGAGCAUUUUUGAAUCUUAGCAUUUCUAACAACGCACUUUUAAGGGAAAAAAAAAAAGCCUUUUAGAUAUUUUUAUAUUUUUCUAUUUCAAGUUACCUCUAUAUUUUUUCUUUUAUAUAUUUCAACCUCUUUUUUUUACUAAAUAAUUUAGUUAUAUAUAUUCAGGAUCAUUUAAGCCCGUUUAUAACAUUUCGGGAUGAAUAGUAAUUCGUUUAUGAUCAUAAAACAUGGGUAUCCUUUAAAUCGAGGGAAUAUUUUUAAAAAUUAAUCGCAUCAUUCAUACUAGGUGAGCAAAAUGGCUUAAUAUUCCUUCCGUAUAUCACAACUCUCGCGAUGGGAAUGAGGAAGCGAACAAACUUUGUUCAGAGAUUGUGUUAACAUUUUGUUCGUAACAUCUCGUAAUGCCCUCCGUUGCCGGUUCAAUUAUGUGUUUAAUUAAUAGGUAUGUUCUUUUUAUAAGCUACUUCUCGGGAUAGUUAAAAGUUUGAAGAAGGUUUUAGCUGUUUUUUUUUUUAGGUGCACGUAACCCGGACGAUACUUUAAAAUUACCAAAGAGAUGCUUUCUUAUGCCAUUUUAUUUGCUCGCAUAAGUUCGGCGGCCCGAGUAUGUGGCCAAAAAACACUGGAACGUCUACAUAUAUAAACGAAUAUAUAGAAUUUUUGUUGUUUUUAACACAAAUUUAACUUGGAUAUUUUUGCUUAAAAAAAGUCAAAACACGCAUUAAAUUUAAAUUAUAUCGAUACAUUAAAAAAAUACGGCAUUAUUAACUCAUUUACAUAUUUAAAAUAUCUAUUAGUGGUAUGAAGUUUGCUUUCAGAGUUUAUUUUUAAUACAAACACCUUCGUUAUAAAUAAAUAUACAUUUGGAAUGAGAGAGAGAUUUUUACAGUGCGAAUAAACACCGGAUGCGUGUAUGUUUUCUAGGCAAAUAAAGUCAAAGCACAGACAAGUGCAGGCAAUCGGUCGAAUAAACAUGUAGGCAGAACCUAUACCGAUGUAUAUCUCAGUGUUAAAAGUGUUCAGCUGGUGCAAUUCAAAGUUUUGAGCAUAGUGGCAACUCUCUUGAAACUCGUUGUCGCUAGAAAUAGAGACGAAAAAAAAAGUGUUUUAAAAUCAAAAAAGAACCACUGAAGUACUCUUAUGACCAUUUCAGAUUGAUUAAAUAGUGGAGCAUUGAGAUAACUAUUACAUGUUUCUUAAAUAAAGUUACGUUCGAAUGUUAGAAACACGAUCCUUAAAUUUAUAUCUUUUAUAUAUUCAAUUUAAUCACAUAGAUAAAAACACAGUCGAGUUAAAGUGUUUGACCAAUGCAGAAUUCGUUGAGAAAACGUUGACUAGCUCAGAAUUAUAACAUAAUGUUGCGGGAAGAAUAUAUUCAUGUACCUAGAGGGGCACCUCUCCCUUUUUAAUAAUCCCGAAAUCAUGACAUCCCAUUAGGCAUUUUGUCUGGAUUUGCCAAAACUGGUGUGUUAUGCAUGCUUCAUUCUUUAACAUCACUAGUAAGGUUUUUCACUAGGGUGAUGUACAGUGCCAUCGUUCUGGUGUACAAUUAAAGGGAGUUGUGCCUUUUUUGGUGCACAUACACAUAUACAUUAAAUAUCUGUUGUGUGAAUCCAUAAAAUUCAACAUUUAAAUAAAAACGACACAUCUUGUAUUGCAAAAACAAACUGCGUUUAUUGCAUGAUAUUUCGACGAUCAGAAUGUUCGUCUUUUUUUCAAACGCUUCCUUCUCGCCACAAAUGUUAUUAUGUUUGCAAAUAAACACAGUUUAUAUCGUGAAGUUGCAUGAAAGAUAGAAAGGAGGGGGAGAAACAAGUGACUUAUGGCCAUCAGCAAUUAAUUUAAUGGUUGCGAGCUUGCAUGGUCCAGUUGCGUGCUUUAGUGGAUGGAGCUUGGUUUCAUUCGAAAAAAAAAAAAACAAUUUAUUACUUUCAUGAUAAUGUGAGACGGCAAUAUCAAGCGGUGCUUUUAAACGCUUUGAGGCGAUCCCUAAAUGCCAAAAAACAGCGGUUAGGCAGCAAUUACUUUGGUUGAGGACAAUGGUGUUUGUUAUUGAUACCACAUUAUAGCGACCAUAACAAAGUAAGCGUAAUUUGCUAGUUUUACCCUCAGUUCAAGCCAAGUUUUGAUGAUGGCUACUUUAGACAUUCUAGAAGGUAGCGUCAUCUAGACAGCCUCCAUUAUGCAUGCCUUUUAUAGAAAACUUAUCACCAUGUGCUAGAAAAGAGUUUUGCCUGUUAAAUAUAAGCUAGUUAAUUUCGCGUGUGCUGUGAAAAGUUUUGAAUGGUCAACGAAUUAGUUUCUGAGAAUAAAUAACAACUUAUGCUUGAAACCUGGAACAAAAUAGCAUGCAUGUUGUUUGUUGUAAAGAUUCUUCCCUGCUUUUACACUUUGAUUUAAUCAAUAAGGAAUCUAGGGUUUCUUUUCUUAUUUAUUUUAUUUCUCAAGCUUUCGGGCUAACAUACCCCUAAACACGGGAGAUCCUGAAGAAGAUAGAAAAGAAGUUGUACGUCAGGAUCUCCGUGUUGGAGGGCAUGUUGGUCCGAAAUCUCGAGAAAUAAAAGAAAUAAUAAAAGAAACGAAACCCUUGAUUCCUUAUUGUUUGAUUCAAAAUGCUGUUUGUUGAUUAAUAUUAACUCUCUGUAUGCAUCUUCCAUCAAUGUUAAUUCCACAAGCAGCAAGUGCAUACAGCAUUCAUUCCAUCCCGACAGUAUUCGCGAUGUAAGAACAUUUGAGAG